AUUGAACGCUGGCGGCAUGCUUUACACAUGCAAGUCGAACGGUAACAGGCCGCAAGGUGCUGACGAGUGGCGAACGGGUGAGUAAUGCAUCGGAACGUGCCCAGUCGUGGGGGAUAACGCAGCGAAAGCUGCGCUAAUACCGCAUACGAUCUGUGGAUGAAAGCGGGGACCUUCGGGCCUCGCGCGAUUGGAGCGGCCGAUGUCAGAUUAGGUAGUUGGUGGGGUAAAGGCUCACCAAGCCGACGAUCUGUAGCUGGUCUGAGAGGACGACCAGCCACACUGGGACUGAGACACGGCCCAGACUCCUACGGGAGGCAGCAGUGGGGAAUUUUGGACAAUGGGGGCAACCCUAUCCAGCAAUGCCGCGUGCAGGAAGAAGGCCUCGGGUUGUAAACUGCUUUUUGUACGGAACGAAAAGGCUCUGGUUAAUACCUGGGGCUCAUGACGGUACCGUAAGAAUAAGCACCGGCUAACUACGUGCCAGCAGCCGCGGUAAUACGUAGGGUGCGAGCGUUAAUCGGAAUUACUGGGCGUAAAGCGUGCGCAGGCGGUGCUGUAAGACAGGCGUGAAAUCCCCGGGCUUAACCUGGGAAUGGCGCUUGUGACUGCAGUGCUGGAGUGUGGCAGAGGGGGCAUGGAAUUCCGCGUGUAGCAGUGAAAUGCGU
This 665-nucleotide ribosomal RNA is filed under the name uncultured bacterium. RNAcentral describes it as "bacterial SSU rRNA". It matches the Rfam family "Bacterial small subunit ribosomal RNA", at positions 28 to 691 of the family's 1533-position model. The record is from RNAcentral.